GACAUAGGUGGCGAACGUUAUCCGGAUUUAUUGGGCGUAAAGGAUGCGUAGGUGGUGGAAUAAGUUAUUGGUCGAGGUCAAGCUCAACUUGGCGGAAGCUGAUAAUACUGUUCUACUUGAGGGCAGGAGAGGUUGGCGGAAUUCUGUGUGGAGCGGUGAAAUGCGUUGAUCUACAGAGGAACACCAAAAAGGGCGAAGGCAGCCAACUAUUCUGAUCCUGACAUUGAGGCAUGAAAGCGUGGGGAGCAAACCGG
This 254-nucleotide ribosomal RNA is filed under the name uncultured bacterium. RNAcentral describes it as "partial 16S ribosomal RNA". It matches the Rfam family "Bacterial small subunit ribosomal RNA", at positions 524 to 776 of the family's 1533-position model. The record is from RNAcentral.